AUUGAACGCUGGCGGCAGGCCUAACACAUGCAAGUCGAGCGGUAACACAGAGAGCUUGCUCUCGGGUGACGAGCGGCGGACGGGUGAGUAAUGUCUGGGAAACUGCCUGAUGGAGGGGGAUAACUACUGGAAACGGUAGCUAAUACCGCAUAACGUCGCAAGACCAAAGUGGGGGACCUUCGGGCCUCAUGCCAUCAGAUGUGCCCAGAUGGGAUUAGCUAGUAGGUGGGGUAAUGGCUCACCUAGGCGACGAUCCCUAGCUGGUCUGAGAGGAUGACCAGCCACACUGGAACUGAGACACGGUCCAGACUCCUACGGGAGGCAGCAGUGGGGAAUAUUGCACAAUGGGCGCAAGCCUGAUGCAGCCAUGCCGCGUGUAUGAAGAAGGCCUUCGGGUUGUAAAGUACUUUCAGCGAGGAGGAAGGCGUUAAGGUUAAUAACCUUGGCGAUUGACGUUACUCGCAGAAGAAGCACCGGCUAACUCCGUGCCAGCAGCCGCGGUAAUACGGAGGGUGCAAGCGUUAAUCGGAAUUACUGGGCGUAAAGCGCACGCAGGCGGUCUGUCAAGUCGGAUGUGAAAUCCCCGGGCUCAACCUGGGAACUGCAUUCGAAACUGGCAGGCUAGAGUCUUGUAGAGGGGGGUAGAAUUCCAGGUGUAGCGGUGAAAUGCGUAGAGAUCUGGAGGAAUACCGGUGGCGAAGGCGGCCCCCUGGACAAAGACUGACGCUCAGGUGCGAAAGCGUGGGGAGCAAACAGGAUUAGAUACCCUGGUAGUCCACGCCGUAAACGAUGUCGACUUGGAGGUUGUGCCCUUGAGGCGUGGCUUCCGGAGCUAACGCGUUAAGUCGACCGCCUGGGGAGUACGGCCGCAAGGUUAAAACUCAAAUGAAUUGACGGGGGCCCGCACAAGCGGUGGAGCAUGUGGUUUAAUUCGAUGCAACGCGAAGAACCUUACCUACUCUUGACAUCCAGAGAACUUAGCAGAGAUGCUUUGGUGCCUUCGGGAACUCUGAGACAGGUGCUGCAUGGCUGUCGUCAGCUCGUGUUGUGAAAUGUUGGGUUAAGUCCCGCAACGAGCGCAACCCUUAUCCUUUGUUGCCAGCGGUCCGGCCGGGAACUCAAAGGAGACUGCCAGUGAUAAACUGGAGGAAGGUGGGGAUGACGUCAAGUCAUCAUGGCCCUUACGAGUAGGGCUACACACGUGCUACAAUGGCAUAUACAAAGAGAAGCGACCUCGCGAGAGCAAGCGGACCUCAUAAAGUAUGUCGUAGUCCGGAUUGGAGUCUGCAACUCGACUCCAUGAAGUCGGAAUCGCUAGUAAUCGUAGAUCAGAAUGCUACGGUGAAUACGUUCCCGGGCCUUGUACACACCGCCCGUCACACCAUGGGAGUGGGUUGCAAAAGAAGUAGGUAGCUUAACCUUCGGGAGGGCGCUUACCACUUUGUGAUUCAUGACUGGGGUG
This 1462-nucleotide ribosomal RNA is filed under the name Klebsiella aerogenes. RNAcentral describes it as "bacterial SSU rRNA". It matches the Rfam family "Bacterial small subunit ribosomal RNA". Lineage: Bacteria; Pseudomonadati; Pseudomonadota; Gammaproteobacteria; Enterobacterales; Enterobacteriaceae. RNAcentral also lists the same sequence under 2 other names. The record is from RNAcentral.